This 274-nucleotide ribosomal RNA is filed under the name uncultured bacterium. RNAcentral's name for it is "partial 16S ribosomal RNA". It matches the Rfam family "Bacterial small subunit ribosomal RNA", at positions 523 to 796 of the family's 1533-position model. The record is from RNAcentral.
AUACGUAGGGUGCGAGCGUUAAUCGGAAUUACUGGGCGUAAAGCGUGCGCAGGUGGUUUUGUAAGUCAGAUGUGAAAUCCCCGGGCUUAACCUGGGAACUGCGUUUGAAACUGCAAGGCUAGAGUGUGGCAGGGGGGGGUGGAAUUCCGCGUGUAGCAGUGAAAUGCGUAGAGAUGUGGAGGAACACCGAUGGCGAAGGCAGCCCCCUGGGUCAGCACUGACGCUCAGGCACGAAAGCAUGGGGAGCAAACAGGAUUAGAUACCCGGGUAGUCC